Molecule: ribosomal RNA, 253 nt
Filed under: uncultured bacterium
Lineage: Bacteria
Description: partial 16S ribosomal RNA
Rfam family: Bacterial small subunit ribosomal RNA
Source: RNAcentral
UACGUGGGGUGCAAACGUUGCUCGGAAUUACUGGGCGUAAAGCGUGCGUAGGCGGUUUAGUGUGUGGGAUUUGAAAGCCCGGGGCUCAACUCCGGAUCCGGAUCCCAAACUGCUAGACUCGAGAGUAUCAGAGGAGAGCGGAAUUCCCGGUGUAGAGGUGAAAUUCGUAGAUAUCGGGAGGAACACCAGUGGCGAAGGCGGCUCUCUGGGCAGAUACUGACACUGAGACGCGAAAGCGUGGGUAGCAAACAGG